RNAcentral lists this ribosomal RNA (468 nucleotides) under uncultured bacterium. RNAcentral describes it as "partial 16S ribosomal RNA". It matches the Rfam family "Bacterial small subunit ribosomal RNA", at positions 28 to 507 of the family's 1533-position model. The record is from RNAcentral.
GACGAACGCUGGCGGCGUGCUUAACACAUGCAAGUCGAACGGAAAGGCCCUGCUUUUGUGGGGUGCUCGAGUGGCGAACGGGUGAGUAACACGUGAGUAACCUGCCCUUGACUUUGGGAUAACUUCAGGAAACUGGGGCUAAUACCGGAUAGGAGCUCCUGCUGCAUGGUGGGGGUUGGAAAGUUUCGGCGGUUGGGGAUGGACUCGCGGCUUAUCAGCUUGUUGGUGGGGUAGUGGCUUACCAAGGCUUUGACGGGUAGCCGGCCUGAGAGGGUGACCGGCCACAUUGGGACUGAGAGACGGCCCAGACUCCUACGGGAGGCAGCAGUGGAGAAUAUUGCACAAUGGGCGGAAGCCUGAUGCAGCAACGCCGCGUGCGUGAUGACGGCCUUCGGGUUGUAAACCGCUUUCGCCUGUGACGAAGCGUGAGUGACGGUAAUGGGUAAAGAAGCACCGGCUAACUACGUG